CAGCAGCCGCGGUAAAACGUAGGUGGCAAGCGUUGUCCGGAAUUAUUGGGCGUAAAGCGCGCGCAGGCGGAUCGGUCAGUCUGUCUUAAAAGUUCGGGGCUUAACCCCGUGAUGGGAUGGAAACUGCCAAUCUAGAGUAUCGGAGAGGAAAGUGGAAUUCCUAGUGUAGCGGUGAAAUGCGUAGAUAUUAGGAAGAACACCAGUGGCGAAGGCGACUUUCUGGACGAAAACUGACGCUGAGGCGCGAAAGCCAGGGGAGCGAACGGGGUUAGAGACCCCGGUAGUCCCUGUCUCUUAUACC
RNAcentral lists this ribosomal RNA (301 nucleotides) under uncultured bacterium. RNAcentral describes it as "partial 16S ribosomal RNA". It matches the Rfam family "Bacterial small subunit ribosomal RNA", at positions 509 to 808 of the family's 1533-position model. The record is from RNAcentral.